GACGAACGCUGGCGGCGUGCUUAACACAUGCAAGUCGAACGGAAAGGCCCUGCUUUUGUGGGGUGCUCGAGUGGCGAACGGGUGAGUAACACGUGAGUAACCUGCCCUUGACUUUGGGAUAACUUCAGGAAACUGGGGCUAAUACCGGAUAGGAGCUCCUGCUGCAUGGUGGGGGUUGGAAAGUUUCGGCGGUUGGGGAUGGACUCGCGGCAUAUCAGCUUGUUGGUGGGGUAGUGGCUUACCAAGGCUUUGACGGGUAGCCGGCCUGAGAGGGUGACCGGCCACAUUGGGACUGAGAUACGGACCAGAAGCCUACGGGCGGCAGCGGUGGGGAAUAUUGCACAGUGGGCGGAAGCCUGAUGCAGCAACGCCGCGUGCGGGAUGACGGCCUUCGGGUUGUAAACAGCUUUGGCAUGUGACGAAGCGUGAGUGACGGUAAUGGGUAAAGAAGCACCGGCUAACUACGUG
Molecule: ribosomal RNA, 468 nt
Filed under: uncultured bacterium
Lineage: Bacteria
Description: partial 16S ribosomal RNA
Rfam family: Bacterial small subunit ribosomal RNA
Source: RNAcentral